UACGUAGGGUGCGAGCGUUAAUCGGAAUUACUGGGCGUAAAGCGUGCGCAGGCGGUGACCCAAGUCAGAUGUGAAAUCCCCGGGCUCAACCUGGGAAUUGCAUCUGUGACUGCAUAGCUAGAGUACGGUAGAGGGGGAUGGAAUUCCGCGUGUAGCAGUGAAAUGCGUAGAGAUGUGGAGGAAUACCGAUGGCGAAGGCAGCCCCCUGGGUCAAUACUGACGCUCAUGCACGAAAGCGUGGGGAGC
This 246-nucleotide ribosomal RNA is filed under the name uncultured bacterium. RNAcentral describes it as "partial 16S ribosomal RNA". It matches the Rfam family "Bacterial small subunit ribosomal RNA", at positions 524 to 769 of the family's 1533-position model. The record is from RNAcentral.